GCGCUCAUAGCUCAGCUGGAUAGAGCACUGCCCUCCGGAGGCAGGGGUCGGGAGUUCGAAUCUUCUUGAGCGCGCCA
This 77-nucleotide transfer RNA is filed under the name Pseudomonadota bacterium. Its description in RNAcentral is "tRNA-Arg". It matches the Rfam family "tRNA". Rfam says of the family: Transfer RNA (tRNA) molecules are approximately 80 nucleotides in length. Their secondary structure includes four short double-helical elements and three loops (D, anti-codon, and T loops). Further hydrogen bonds mediate the characteristic L-shaped molecular structure. tRNAs have two regions of fundamental functional importance: the anti-codon, which is responsible for specific mRNA codon recognition, and the 3' end, to which the tRNAs corresponding amino acid is attached (by aminoacyl-tRNA synthetases). tRNAs cope with the degeneracy of the genetic code in two manners: having more than one tRNA (with a specific anti-codon) for a particular amino acid; and 'wobble' base-pairing, i.e. permitting non-standard base-pairing at the 3rd anti-codon position. RNAcentral also lists the same sequence under 1 other name. The record is from RNAcentral. Lineage: Bacteria; Pseudomonadati; Pseudomonadota.